UGCCCAAUUUGAUGCCGUCCUCCCCAAAUUGGUGCAGCUGGCUGCUCAUCGGCGCUCUCCCCGACCCGCUCUGCCGGCAUCCUGCAGCUGUGUUUCCUCCUUGCGGCCCGUUGCGACGUUGCGUCAAACCUAACAUGAGCACGGCUCUGAUUCCGUCAGCGAUUGGCUUCCUACAGCCUUCGCUCCAAGGAAGGCGGUCACGCAACCAGCGAGGUCGCGGAGCGCCAGAUGUUGAUCCACCACAGUUGAUCAUCCCGUCGCUGCUCGGCGGAAGUUUGGCGUAGAGUGGGCAUGGCCACGACUGUCCCCUCAGUCUCGAGCUGGGAUUGACGCAGAAGUACCCGUCACAUGGAGUGAGGAAGAGAAGAUUUGUUGAGGUUGUUAACUCAUGUUGAAAAAACGGAAGAGAAUCAGUACCAUCACAGGGACUCGGCGGGCCAUGUUGCCAAAGACUACACGCCUCCAAGUAUACGCCCCCUAAAGAAGGGCCCUGUGCUUCAAUUGAGAGCAGGCUAUCUGGAGGGAGGAUAAAAAGCUAGCAACCGAGCCAGGUUGCUAGCCAUCACGCUGGGGCAGCAGGCAUCCCAACCAAUGGCGAGCCUUACCUCCGCAGCCCCUAUCCCCAAAUCCUCCCGGCAUGACGGAGACGCCGGGAUGUGGCGACUCAGCACGGGAAAUUGCUGAAGAGCGGCAAGGAAGGCUCCCUGGAGAGGCAUGAUGCCGCUGAAAACCAUGGAUGACGGUAGGGGCGACAUGAGAGGGGGUGGACGCCGGCUAGAGGAGCAGAGGCGACCACUGGACCUUGCUCGGCGUGCCGCCCACCACUCGUGCUCGCCGGAGCCAGACACCGGGACGGAGCUUUACCUCGCCGAACACGCCGACACACUGCGGGAACCAUGCCGGCGAGGCACAACCACCACUCCAAUCUGGCUGCCUCGAAUCAUGCGGAAGCAACAUGAGGCGUCGGUAUCUGGGGACGGCCGACGACGUGGGGAACCACACCUGUGGUAGGAGGGCAACGGCGGCGAUUGCCCAUGAGAAGGGGAGGAUGAUGGCGGCUGCAAUAGAUGUGACAUCCGAAGAGAGAAGAAGGGAGAGGUUGGGGCAAAGUGGAGAUCGUGGCACCGCUUUGACCAAAACUGGCAAGGUACGUGGCAACACAAGGCGAUCAAACUGGCCUGUUAGAUCUACAGCCGGUAACCGGUUGUCCAUCUAUCAAAAAAAAUUAUAACCGGUCAAGUAAAUUAAUUGGGCCAUGGAAUAGGAGAGUACGUGUCCAGCAACGGCUCAAGGAAGGAAGAGAUAAUUUGUCCAUCUACAGUGCCCUGAUCAUGCCCCGAUCAACCAGGAAACGCUAAAUCGUUUAACUUUUAUAUAGUGUAUGUAUUGCAAGCAUUAUAAGACUCUACACUGUC
This is a long non-coding RNA of Lolium rigidum, 1415 nucleotides long. RefSeq lists it as uncharacterized. The record is from RefSeq and is a predicted model, not a curated record. The transcript is spliced from 3 exons. Lineage: Eukaryota; Viridiplantae; Streptophyta; Magnoliopsida; Poales; Poaceae.